Molecule: long non-coding RNA, 657 nt
Organism: Vigna unguiculata (cowpea)
Lineage: Eukaryota; Viridiplantae; Streptophyta; Magnoliopsida; Fabales; Fabaceae
Source: RefSeq, a predicted model, not a curated record
UUUUCUAUCUUGAUGUUUCUAUUUGUUUUGUAUCUUGAAUAUGUUUUUGUAAUCCAAAAAAGCCUUUCCAUGUGAAUGUGUAUCUAAUGUUUUUCCUUUCUUUGUCCUUAUGAAACCUUAGGGAGCAUAAUCCUUGAUCUGUGUGUUUGGAGUUGCUGAAGGUUUACUUCUUUGUGGCACAAAUAGAGGGGAAGGUUCAGCAAGGUGAUGGAGACAUUCAAUUACUUUGGCAUUGAGCUCAUGGAUACUAAUCUCACUACUACAUAAGGAGCAUUUAUGAUUACAGGCAAGCAGGAAGAAGAGGAGAUCCCUCCAUGAACAAAUUAUUUUUUCCUGCACAAAGGAACUACAACUAUUGAAUAGAAAUGCAAACUAGAGAGACAAUUCUCUGAACUAAUAAUGGCAAUUGAUGAGGAGCAAAAUGAAGUUAUCUCUUUGUGCGUCUAAUGAUUUGGCUUGACAAAAAGGUUAUCUUGAAGAAAAUUUAAAACUCACUAAUGAUUUGAAAGACGGGAUUGGUGGAGAACAAUCAAUACAAUAUCUGGUAAAAUUGGAAGUGAUUUCUUUGUCAGGAUUUCUUAAUUAGCUUCUAACAUUUUCAUAAGGUGUUAUUUUAUUUCACUUGACCGAUAUUGCAGCAGUCAUGUAAAUGGAAUA